Molecule: long non-coding RNA, 559 nt
Organism: Myotis daubentonii (Daubenton's bat)
Lineage: Eukaryota; Metazoa; Chordata; Mammalia; Chiroptera; Vespertilionidae
Exons: 3
Source: RefSeq, a predicted model, not a curated record
GGCAGCUUCUGUGGACAGGGCAGGAGGUGUGCUAGGUGACAAUUCGGGCGGAUGCUCCCUCUGAGACAGGAAAACUGGAGCAGAGAGGACCAAGGCAGCCUGAGCCAGAGGCGCCUCUCCAUCACUGGUCAGGAGGGAACAACUGCUCCAUUUCCUUGGCCCUCAGACCACGGAGCCCCGGGUCACCAGCCUAAACCGCUUAAUGCGCACCACGCCUGCGUCUCCUUGGAAAUGGCUGAAGCACUUAAAUGGAACGCCCAGCCUGUGUCCUCCGCUCCAAAACCACAGGCAGAACUGCACUUGAACCAUCCUUGAACCCAUUUCGCUCUGAAAGAUGCCACCAUUCUGUAGCAAGUGGAGGCGGGCUGGUACAGUGAUUAAGACCACAGACCAGCAGCUACUUGUCCACGUGUCAGCCCCUCCUCUCUGUGUGACUUGGGGCAAGUUCCUUCACUUGUCGCAGUCUCCUUCCCCUCCCCUGAUUCAUGAGGAGGUAAUAACCUAAACCAUCCAUCCUGUAAGGGCUCUGAGGCUUCCAUGAGAUCACGUGUAUAAAGCA